AUAAAAGCUUUGACAGGGACUAUUAAAUAUGAUGUAUAUUUUAAAGCGAGUGGGAUCUGGUGUAAACCCAUAAAUAUUUCAUAUUGAAACUCACCCUUGAGCUGUAAGCUGAAAUUAUAGUAAGCUGUGCCGGUGUGAAUCGUUAUUGAAUUAAGUAAUAAAAUUGGGUGGUACCGCGAACAGACUUCUCGCCUCAAGA
RNAcentral lists this non-coding RNA (199 nucleotides) under Clostridium autoethanogenum. RNAcentral's name for it is "T-box sequence". It matches the Rfam family "T-box leader". From Rfam's summary of the family: Uncharged tRNA acts as the effector for transcription antitermination of genes in the T-box leader family. T-boxes are found upstream of many aminoacyl-tRNA synthetase genes and some amino acid biosynthetic genes usually in Gram-positive bacteria. Lineage: Bacteria; Bacillati; Bacillota; Clostridia; Eubacteriales; Clostridiaceae. The record is from RNAcentral.